This 95-nucleotide non-coding RNA is filed under the name Cupriavidus taiwanensis. RNAcentral also lists the same sequence under 1 other name. Lineage: Bacteria; Pseudomonadati; Pseudomonadota; Betaproteobacteria; Burkholderiales; Burkholderiaceae. The record is from RNAcentral.
UUCCAUGGCGGGCCACGCGAGGCAGCCGCAAGGCUGGCCGGGUUCUUCCUUGAUCUCGCCGGGUUUCCACCCUCGCUGUAUGGCCCGCCACCCUC